RNAcentral lists this long non-coding RNA (2521 nucleotides) under Salvia miltiorrhiza (redroot sage). RNAcentral describes it as "long non-coding RNA (SMIL_LNC004884)". The record is from RNAcentral. Lineage: Eukaryota; Viridiplantae; Streptophyta; Magnoliopsida; Lamiales; Lamiaceae.
UCUUCUUCUUUUGUUGUCUUUCUUUUCUUUUGCAUUAACGCGGCAAUACCUCCUUCUUCUUUUUCUUCUUUUUUCCAGAUUUUUGGUUUAGAGGAUUAAGGGAUUGCUUACUUCCCUGUUUUCGGCGGGUGGUGGCAGGAAAUUUUUGUUAGGUAAUAGAUAUAUAUUUGUACUGUAGAAACUUUUAUAACAUAAAUUAAUGAGUUCGAUUCUAUUGAUGGACGCUGCUUGCUUUUUUUUUCCUAUGUUUCUUUAUGAAAUUCUUAGAGGCUCUUAUUGUUCUCUGUCACUGCAAUGCAAUCUUGAUGAGGGUUUGACAUGAAAUCUAAUGUUUGUAUCUAAUUCUUGAAAUCAUGAAAGCUUCCAAAAAGUGGGACCUAAUGAAGCCUUCUGGAUAUGAAAUUUUUAGGAUAUAGUAUCUAGCUCAUAUUUCUUGGAUGUUUUACUUAAUAAACUAAAUCAUCUACGUGAGCUAUGUUCUGUAAGUAAUCAAUAUGUGAAUUGUGCUGCUGCCUGCAGUUUGAUAGUAUACUUGCUUCGUCUUCAUUAUUUUUCCUGAUUUGGGAAGGUCUUUGUGAUUGUACUUUUUGAAUUUUAUAUGUUACUUAUAACGGCUUUUUGAAUUAAUCUACAUGAAUAUUUGAUUUUUCAAAUUUUUGAUUUAGAUUUUGUUAAUUAACUCUAUGUGAUUGCUUUACUUCCCUGUUUUGGUUUAGAUUUUUGGCUAGAAGUAAGCGAUUGCUUUACUUCUCUGUUUUGCCGUGGCUGAGAUCUCUGAGCACAUCACCAACAAGGUCUCCGAGCACUACAUGAAAAGGUAAAUGCUUGCUGCCACAAUAAUGUUCCUUUGACUAAUAGUGUUUUUAGUUCACUAGCGGGCUGGCUAAUUGAGUGUUCUUUCAUACUUUGCACCUAAUUAUGUGAUUUGUGAAAAUUUCUCAAUCUUUUGUGACAAUUGCACUAUGAAUGGUGACAAUAGCGAAUGAUUUAAAAUGAUGUUUCCACGCAUAUUUAUGUGGAGUAGUGAUUUGAGGAAUAUAUUAUAUCUUUAUAUGCUAUAAUUCAUGAGUUUAUUUGUAUGGUGAUGCUAAUAUGUAGUAAGGUGAUGUAUUUGAGCUCUACAUCUCUUUAUUUAGCCAAGCUAUGAGUUUUGUUUAGUUGAAGCAAGACAUGCCCUGCUGUCAAUUCUUGGCUGGACUGGACAGAGUGUUGCGGGAUACUUUUGGGGGUGUUCCCGUGGUUCAAAUCAGUUGAAAUUUUUACAGUAAUAACUUCAUUACGAGUAGUAAAUAUCUGCAAAAUUUCAGCUAAAUCCGAGACCCUUAGAUAUGUCAAAUAAUUUUCUGAAAAGUACUGCACGAAGCAACGAAGUUCAGUGGCAGAUUCUGCCUUUUGUGAUAUAAUUUCCUAUACACUUGAUAUAUGGUAUUUUUGUAACUUUCUACUAAAGAUAGACUUUAAUAGCUUUCUAAAAAGGUAAAUCUUGCAUUUUUCUUUGAAGUAAUUGAUUUUAUAUGAUUUUUCAAAGUUAGAAUUCAAAUGUAUAUGGUUCUUAAACUUGCGAGUGAUAAUUAGUUGAAAUUCUAAACUACUAAACUUGGAUUGAGUGUUUAUUUUCUUUUAACUUUUAUUUUAUUCUCACUUUAUUGUGCAUUAGAUUCUUUUGGAAUUAAUCGAGUGAGAUAUAAUGCAAUGUUUUGGUUUUCUGAACCUCUUGGAUUUUUUUUUGUUAGAUAACCAGCAGCCAUAUUUAGAGUACAAGGGGAUCAUAAGGUGGAGACUUUCUAUCUAAUUGCUGAAAAUUAGAUUUAAGUGAAACGAGUUCUCAAUUUCGCAUGUAAUGAAAUGCAAUUGUAGUAGGUUUUGUACUCUAAUUUUGGUUUAUAAAUCAACUUUUCUAAUUUUAGUGAUUUGGAAUACUUCCUUUUGAUUUACCUAUAUCUCUUUGUCUUAUUGUUAUUUCAGAAGGAGCUAUGUGUAUGACCCGGAAUGGAACAACUUUGCCUAAUAAGGAAUCUUUUGUAUGGGUUUAUUAGGCUUUUUCAACAUCAUUCAAAACCCCAUACAGUGUUAGCCGGACAACUGGAGGAGUCUCACAUUUGUUUGCAAACGCUGCAAACAAAUGAAUCAUUUCUCUGUCUUUCUUAAUUUUGUUAACUUUUGAUUUUGUCAACUCAAAACUAUAAUUUGCAAUACAUAAUUUAUAAUCACAUAUGGGGUGACAGGAAGGCACGAGCUAACAUGUGACUUCAAAGAAUUCAUAUUCGAACUCUUAGUAGCAUGGAUUAUUACGUUUAGCAUUAUUUAGACAAUAUUAUUUUAUAAAAUAUUUUUAUAAUUUGUUUGAAUAAAAAUUAUUAUCUAUCAUUGUUUGACAUAUAAUAUAGACAUUUUCUAUUAUAAGUUUGACCUCUCAUAUUAACACUUAUUUUUUUGAAAAAUAUCUAUAAUUUAUAUAUAUAUUAUAUGAAAUAAUUUUACGUUCUUUUUUUCUUAUAAAUUAUAACAUUAAAUGAUUUUC